UUAGCCACUGAAAAAUAAGAGAAGAAAGGGGAGCUAAGGAAAACAGGGGAAGGCUUCGGCUAAAACAGAGAAAAAGGAGAGGAGGUCAUCGGCUGAACGGAAAAAGGGAGGAGGUUUUGGAGAAAGGAAAAAGAAAACAGAGCAAAAAGAGAGAGAGAGAGCCAGAGAGUAGACGGAAGAAAAAUUGAAAAAAGAGGGGAGGAAAAAGGGAAGAGGUUCGACAAGAAAACAGAGCAAAGGAAAACCAAGAAUCGAAGGAAUCAGCAAGGAGUUGCUGUUGCCGCUGCUGCCACCAGAAUCCACCACCACCACCCGCAAAUCCUCACCGCAAAAGCUUGGUAAGGUUCCCUCUCUCCAUUCCUCUCUUUAAUUUUGCUAGCGGAUGGGUGAAAAUGAGAGGUAUUGACCUGAUUUUCUCUUCCUUUCUUCUUUUUAGUAAAACUUUUAUCCUUUUCUGACGUCUAUGUAUUCAUGUGGGGCUAUUAUUUCUGUUGUGUGUGAGAAAUUUGAUUGGGAUGCUGUAAAUUUUGGAGCUGAUUAACUUCAAAUUGAGCAAAGGAUUGGCGAAAUUCUUUAUAACCCUGACCUGUUCGAUGAAAUGCCCAGUUGAGAGUUCUACUUGAAGAUGAUUUUGCCUGCGUUUUGCGUGUGAGAAAAAGGAACAUUCGGCUAGUUCAGUGUUUGUCCGAACAUGAUAGCUAAUUUUUUAUGGUAGAAAACAGAGUCUUGAGAGGCUCUGACGUGCUGGUUUUUUGCACUUUUUCUGUUUUUAUGCUGCCCUAUGUUUGAGUCCGAAUUGAUGUUAUGAGAGGGGGGUGUUGUGAGUUUCAUUGUCAGUUGGGAAUGGUUAGAAUUGAAACCAGAUUUCUGGUAUUGCUCUGAUCGCAAGGAAAGCUGAAAUGCUAACUGAUGUUAGCUCGUUGGAGAAGGCAAUUACUUGUCUAAAAUUGCAUUUUCAGUCCCUCCAUUUUCAUUUUAUUUUGUAAUUUAGCCCCAAAUCUUUUAGAACUUCAUAAUUCGACCCCAAAACCUUCAUAAUUCAUUCAAUUAGGUCGCUAUUUUUGUUGCAUUUGAACCCCCAACCUUCGCCUUAUUCUGAUAUGACUCAAAAAAUUGGAAAAAGUUAAAGUUAUUUCGUCCUUUCCGACUUUAAUCAUCUUUUCAUUUUUAAGUAGUCUUUUGGGGUAGAUUAAUUCUUGGUUUUAGGUUAUAAUUGUGGCUUAAUAAUUUUAGUUGAUUUUUCCAUGUUGGGUUUUAGUGAAAUAGGUGAUUUGGGUUGAGAGGUCAUUUUGCUUGGGUUUAAGGGAAUGGGUUUAGUUUAUUAUUUUUGGUUUUGGUUUGGGCUAGAGGAUAGAAGCCCACCGGUUUUAUUGGCUAAUCUUCGGGUCAUAAAUGAUAGAUUGGCCCAUUUCGUUGGUUCUGAGUUUGCGUUGGGCUGGGGAGUUUUCGGUCCAAACAAAUAAGGAAAUGGCCCAAAUGACCUGUUAGGUGAAGAAGUCUGGUGACGAAUUUCCAUUCCAGCCCCCUAACUUUUGAGUAUUUUCUCUAUGGCCCUAAAAAUUUUUAACUUCUUUCAAUUAGGUCCCUAAUUUAAUUGCAAAUAGGCCAAAACUUUAAUGGUGGCCCCGAAUCUUUGAUGGUUUUUAAUGGGCCAAAACUUUUGAGUGCUUUAAGGGGCCUCUUUUGGUCUUUGAUGGUGGCCCCGAAUCUUUGAGAUAAUUAUAAUUCGACCCCUAAAACUUUAUUAAUUUGUGCAAUUAAGUCCCUGCUUGUUUUAAUUUCUUAAAUGUAGGUUGUUUACAUGAUUUAAUUGAUUCAAUUUCAUGUUUAUUUUCAUUUUUUAUAAGUGUUUGUUAAUUAAAGUGAUGCCUUGACCUUUUUUAUUUUUUUUUUGGAGGGUAAAUAAGAAAAUUUUCACUUUCUUAGGUCACCAAUUCAAGGGAGGUAUACUCUAUCCUUUAUUUUUUAUUUCAUCAUAUUUGAUCUUAUGUGCCCUUAUGUGACUUUUAUGUGUAAUUGCAUGUCCUUUUAUGGGCUUUUUAUGUUUUAUUUCAUUUAUUUAUUGUUUUGAUUAUAUAUAUAUUUUUAAAUUUAAUUUGUAAUUAUUUGGAAGGCAAUUAAAUGCAAAAAUUGUAAUAGUUAGGUUAUUAUUUUACUUCAUUCUUUAUUCCCUUUAGAUUGUAGCUAGGGCCUUCAAAUGUAAUAGUUAGGGUUUUAUUUGCUUUGUGUGUUUUGCAUGCUUAUGUGUUUACGUGUUACUCGCUUUUUUAGCAUCUUGCAUCUAGAUAUCAUGCUUAUGUGCUAUAUGUAAUUUAUGUGUUUAUUUGCUUUAUUAUGUUUUACAUGAUUUAUUUGAUUGUAAUAAAUGCAUGACGUCACCACACUAGUCUCACGCUAGUCGUGGCUCCCUUUUUCUGAUAUCACACUAGUCCAAUGCCAAUUGUGGCUCCGUUUCUGAUUCCACACUAGUCCAACGCUAGUUGUUGCUCCUUUUUCCGAGUUCUCACUAGUUCAAUGCUAGUGAGAACUUAUAGACAUGGGUUAGUCCAACGUUAGACCCUUAGGAACCAUCCUUGCGUUAGAUCACAUUUGUGUGACAAUCAAUACAUUUCAUGUAUAUUUUUUUACUUUUUAGGAUCCUUAUCACUUUUGCAUGAUAUUUUCGCUGUAUAUAUAUAUCUCUCAUCCCCAUGUGAGACAUAACAUUAGACUUGCAUUUCAUUUAAGGAAAGUUAGGAGUAGAUUAGUGCAUUUGCUUGAUUAAAUUAGGGACAUUACCCCUCGAAUAUGGGAUAUGGACGAGUGUGAUUUUUUAGGCUUAACAUUCUCUCUGUUAAAGGAAAAAUUAAAGUCACGAGUAUGAGUUUCCUGCCCCCAUUAUGGUGCAUUUUCUUAGGUCAUUUGUGGAUUAUUAUUGUUUUUUCUUUCUUUUCUUCGAGUCUCAUCUUUUUCAAAUUUCAUGACCUUUUCAAAAAAUCACUUUUGGACACCGCAAUUAGUGCGAUUAGUGCCAAUCGAGUUUUGAAGAAACAUAUUUAUUCUUUCGAUAACCAUUAGGUCUAGAUUUGCAUCCAUAUAUCCAAAUGUGAUAAAUUCUUAGAUUAAAAUAAGAAAAUUUUUUGAUUAAAUCACGCAACUGGCCUUGGUUAGGUGGAAAGGGUGCCUUGAAUUAUUAUUCUUGCCUUCCCUUUCUUCAAAUGUGACUCCCGAUCCUUUUUUUGUGAUUUUUGAAGACUGAGAGUCGUUUAAAAAGGGGUCUGCUCUACUUUUUCUUUAAAAAAAAAUUCAUUUUAAGUGACUUGAUACACUUUAACCCAAUAUCAAGUAGUGAUUCCUAUUUUUAUUAAAAAUCCUUUUUAAACUAUUUUUUGGUCAAAAUCGUCGCACUUUCAAGUACCAUUUAGGCCAAUUUUCUUUAUUUAUUUUCUAAGAAAUCAAAAACUUCCUUUUCACUCAAAAUAAAUCAAAAACCCAUUUUUCACACAAAAUAAAUCCAAAAUUCAUUUUUAUAAACUCAUUAUUUUUUUCAUUUAAAAAAAUGGGGCGUGACACCCGUCUCAUCCACUGGAUAAUGGCGGAUGGUGGUUGCGGCACCGUCUUGUGCAGCGGUAGUCAUGGGGAACGCCCUUUCCAUUGAUUCAGCUAGGGAUUUUGGUUCAGUUUCAAUGUUUCGGGGGGAGCCCGCCCUUCACAUUUCUCACUAGGAGAUAUCACUGUUAGCUGCUCCCUUUCGUAACACGCUGAUUGGCAGAUUCGGUCAUCACAGGCCUUCUACGGACAUGAUGCGGAAAUUCUUUGUUUCACUGGGUUUGAAAGGAGAAUGCUUGAUGAUAGCCAUAUCCUAAUUUAGCUAACGCUGGAGGAAGACUAUGCGAGGUUAUUCGCCCAUUCGUUCGUGGUUUGUUCAUAAUAUCCCAAUGUUGAUUUCAUACAUUGACUAUUUUUGAUGGGUAAGAUGAGACAAUUUUUUCCACCAAAUCACCACUGCACUUAAAGCUUGAAAGGCUUUUUCCACGGAUCUCUAGUAAGUUCAAUUCAUCAAAUGUCCGACUUGCCCACGUGAAAAUAGCAAGUGUAAGAGCACGUGAAAAUAGUAUUGGCAGAGAGUUGAGUUUGGUGUCCAAAAAAAAAUCUAAAAUAAAUUCAAUGGACUUGGAAAUAAUUAGUUCAUAAGCUUUCCGAAAUCAACCAGUGAUACUACUGCCCAACAAUUUCACUGAUUUCAUUUCUUCAUUGGCUUUUGAAAACAAUACCACCAUUAAGAAUUAACCUUUUCCUAUUGCCCUGGAUUAAAAACCAAAGUGGAGACAGCGGGCAUAAUUAACCCACUAUUUCUCUCAGCUAUAGCCUCACCCACACCUAUUAUAAUUCUCUUCCACUCCCUCUAUUACCAUCCAAUUAGCGUCACUUUUACCCCAACUAGCCCCAAGCAAUUCCAACCAGCGACAACAUAAAAAGAUAUAUGCACCCGCACAUAAAAAGAUAUAUGCACCUACUGAUGAUUGUCACCGUGAAUAACAUAUGUAUAAAAAUAACUUCAACAAUUGCAACCAUGAAUCAAAUAGCAACACAAGAAGAAAAUGAGUAAAGCCAUGACUCAAACAGCCAACCAAAAAAAUUUGCCAGAGAAUAUUUUGAGAAAAAAAAUUAGGGGAAAAUAAUUGGAGCAAAAAUUAGGGAAUGGCCGCAAGCCAUGAGAUACCCUACCUGAGAGUUGGUGGAGAGCACAUCAAUCCCUUUCAGCAUUGAACGCACAAUUGGUCUAAAGUUUUGAAGAGUUUGAACGCACAAUUGGUGGAGAGUUUUCUUUCUUCUUUGGAGAGUGUAAAUAGCAAGUGUAAGAAGGUGAAGAGUAAUAUUGAAGACGUCUAGUACUAGUCAAAUAUAAGACCAUCCAACUCAAAAUAAGUUCCCACUUUGUAAUUACAAGUACUGCGCCA
RNAcentral lists this long non-coding RNA (4940 nucleotides) under Coffea arabica (coffee). Its description in RNAcentral is "long non-coding RNA (CARA_LNC005960)". The record is from RNAcentral. Lineage: Eukaryota; Viridiplantae; Streptophyta; Magnoliopsida; Gentianales; Rubiaceae.